AUGUUUUAUCUUUAUUUCAUUUCUCCGUCAACUCAUGUACCAUGACUUGAGUUGACCAACAAUUAAAGAAGACAUGCUCCACCUGUAAACCUCCACCUUCAACACCACCAGUAAGGUGGAGGUAGAGAAGAGAACCCUGUUGACGAAAAAAGUAAGAAAACUUAUUUUUAACCAGCUAACAAUUUUAAAUAUGAAUGAAAUUAAGGUCAAAUUUCAAAGCUGUUCUUUCUUCUGUCCAUGUUCUCUUUUUUAUAAACUCUGAUGUCUUUUCUCUUUAUUUCAUUUCUCCGUCAACUCAUGUACCUCAACUUGAGUUGACCAACAAUUAAAGAAGACGACCUGCUCCAACUGCUGAUCUACUGGUUGUAACAGAUUGUGGAAAAGCAUCACCAGCAGCACUGGACCAAUCAGGAGAGAGAAGACACAGAGGACUGAAGGGACUCAGAAAAUCCUGCUGGAAAUCCCAAGAUGAAGUUUCCUGAUGCAACAGGGGGACACCUGAGGACACAGAAUAAAGAAGGACCAUGUGAAGCAGGUCCUUCAAUAACAAACCAAGCAUGAGUUGACCAACACUGACAGCAGGUUACUUUGUCCAUCUACUCAUCUACUGGUUGUAACAGAUGAUGGUGAAGGUUGAGGAGAUAAUGACUUGAUCAGAAACUGUGGCCGACAACUGCAAACGCGCAGCAAACAGCAAAACGAGCUGCAAACAGACUCAUGAAGAGGACGGUCAGAGUCGUCCAUAGCUUUCUUGACUCUUCUGAAGAAUCUUUCUUUGCGUCAUCUCCAGAGAUUCCACAGUCAUCUCCAGAACAGAACCAGAACCAAUCCAGCCUUCUUUAUCAGAUUGUUGAGCCUUUUGAGGUUCCUGGCUCUGAUGCUGCUGCACCAACAGAUGAUAGCAGAAGAGAUGACACUCUCAGCAGCAGACUUAAAGAUCUGCAGCAACUUGCUGCAAACCUUGAAGGAUCUUAGCUUCCUGGAGAAGUGCAGUCUGCUCUGUCUCUUUUUGUAGACGGCUUGUCCAUGUGGUUCCUGCCUUCUGUUGCGUCUCCAGUCCAGUCUGUGUUCCAGAUGAACACCGAGUCAAGAUUAGAUGAUUGUUCCCUCACCAGGCCACAAAGUGAUCCACCAGAUCUCUGUACUCAGCCUCUUGUCUUCCUCUGAUACACAACAACUGCAGAGUCGUCUGAGUAUUUCUGUAGAUGACAGAAGUCGGACUUGUGCUGGAAGUCUGAAGAGUAGAGGGUGAAAAUGAAUGGUGAGAGUACAGUGCCCUGUGGUGUUCCCAUGUUGUUGAGCACCUGGUUAGACACACAGUCCUUCAGUCUCACUAACUGUGGUCUGUUUGUCAGGUUGUCACAGAUGCAGGUGAUUGUUGAGGCCUCCACCUGUGUCUUCUGGAGUUUCUAACAGAGCAGAUCAGGCUGAAUUGUGUUCAAUGCACCUGGGAACCAAAGACCCUGAUCCUCACUGUGCUGCCUGCUUUGUCCAGAUGACAGUGGGUUUGUUGAAGCAGGUGUCUGAUCAACUCCAACUCCACGGCGAUAAGCAAACUGCAGGGGGUCCUGAUAUGUGAUCGUCUGCUUACUCAAGUGGGCCACCAGGAAUCUCUCCAGGACCUUCAGGAUGUGGGAUGUCAGGGCAACAGGUCUACAGUCCUUAUGACUGAUGGGUGACUUUUCUUCGGUACCGGAACCAGACAGGAUGUCUUCCACAACAACGGAACCUCCUCUGGGGUCAGGCAAAGGUUGAAGAGAUGCUGCAGAAUCCCACAGAGGGAAUCUGGGACUGACAGCAUCUGGACCUGCAGCCUCGUUCCUGUUCAGUUUCUCCG
This is a long non-coding RNA of Xiphophorus couchianus (Monterrey platyfish), 1837 nucleotides long. RefSeq lists it as uncharacterized. The transcript has 4 exons. The record is from RefSeq and is a predicted model, not a curated record. Lineage: Eukaryota; Metazoa; Chordata; Actinopteri; Cyprinodontiformes; Poeciliidae.